AGGUUGUGAGAAUCUUGUUAAUCUUGUUCAUCUCAAUGUGAAGAAUAAUCUUCUCACUCAUGCGAAUGAACUGAAUUGUUUGUCAAAUCUCGCCCAUUUGUCAGACUUGGUGGUUGCAGGAAAUCCGUUUGUGAGAGGAAUGUUGCAUAGGGCAAGUGUGUUUGCUAGAUUGCAUCUUGUGGCUAGACAGUUAACUUUAGAUGGCUACAAGAUGUCACGAAGAGACGAGUCGAAAAUCCGUCGUCACACAUCUGUCUCCUCCACAUCAUCUCAUCUCAAACACAUCAUCAUCCAGACCCCAUCACUCUCGCUCGUUAU
Molecule: long non-coding RNA, 318 nt
Organism: Corticium candelabrum
Lineage: Eukaryota; Metazoa; Porifera; Homoscleromorpha; Homosclerophorida; Plakinidae
Exons: 3
Source: RefSeq, a predicted model, not a curated record